UACAGAGGGUGCGAGCGUUGUUCGGAAUUAUUGGGCGUAAAGGGCGCGUAGGCGGUGCGGUAAGUCACCUGUGAAAUCUCCUGGCUCAACUGGGAGCCUGCAGGCGAAACUGCCGUGCUGGAGUGUGGGAGAGGUGCGUGGAAUUCCUGGUGUAGCGGUGAAAUGCGUAGAUAUCAGGAGGAACACCUGUGGCGAAAGCGGCGCACUGGACCACAACUGACGCUGAGGCGCGAAAGCUAGGGGAGCAAACAGG
Molecule: ribosomal RNA, 253 nt
Filed under: uncultured bacterium
Lineage: Bacteria
Description: partial 16S ribosomal RNA
Rfam family: Bacterial small subunit ribosomal RNA
Source: RNAcentral